Molecule: ribosomal RNA, 253 nt
Filed under: uncultured bacterium
Lineage: Bacteria
Description: partial 16S ribosomal RNA
Rfam family: Bacterial small subunit ribosomal RNA
Source: RNAcentral
UACGUAGGGGGCAAGCGUUGUCCGGAUUUAUUGGGCGUAAAGAGCGUGUAGGCGGCCUUACAGGUCAGCUGUGAAAACUCGAGGCUCAACCUCGAGACGUCGGCGGAAACCAUCUGGCUAGAGUCCGGAAGAGGAGAGUGGAAUUCCUGGUGUAGCGGUGAAAUGCGCAGAUAUCAGGAAGAACACCCGUGGCGAAGGCGGCUCUCUGGGACGGUACUGACGCUGAGACGCGAAAGCGUGGGGAGCGAACAGG